RNAcentral lists this ribosomal RNA (512 nucleotides) under uncultured Entrophosporaceae. Its description in RNAcentral is "SSU rRNA". It matches the Rfam family "Eukaryotic small subunit ribosomal RNA", at positions 569 to 1078 of the family's 1831-position model. Lineage: Eukaryota; Fungi; Glomeromycota; Glomeromycetes; Entrophosporales; Entrophosporaceae. The record is from RNAcentral.
AGCAGCCGCGGUAAUUCCAGCUCCAAUAGCGUAUAUUAAAGUUGUUGCAGUUAAAAGCUCGUAGUUGAAUUUCGGGAUUGACACAUCGGUCGUGCCUUAAGGGGUAUGAACUGGUGUAGUCAAUUUCUCACCUUCUGGAGAACCGCGAUGCCCUUAAUUGGGUGUCACGGGGAACCAGGACCUUUACUUUGAAAAAUUAGAGUGUUUAAAGCAGGCAUUUUGCUUGAAUACAUUAGCAUGGAAUAAUAAAAUAGGACGGCAUGAUUCUAUUUUGUUGGUUUCUAGGAUCACCGUAAUGAUUAAUAGGGAUAGUUGGGGGCAUUAGUAUUCAAUUGUCAGAGGUGAAAUUCUUGGAUUUAUUGAAGACUAACUACUGCGAAAGCAUUUGCCAAGGAUGUUUUCAUUAAUCAAGAACGAAAGUUAGGGGAUCGAAGACGAUCAGAUACCGUCGUAGUCUUAACCAUAAACUAUGCCGACUAGGGAUCGGAUGAUGUUAAUUUUUAAUGUACUCA